CUCCUUUUAUCCAACUCCCGCAAAAAAUUCCUCACCUUUUCUCGCACGCUUUUUUCUCAUUUCACCUCAAUCGCGUCUCUUUUUCCUUCUCUUCCGCCAUUGUCGCUCUUCUCGCCCUUUCUGAAGAUCUCAGAAUCUCCGCCGUCUCUCUCUUUCCUGCGCCUCUCCUCCCUUUUCCGAUAGUUGAUCUUCUUUUUCUUUUUGUUUUUCUUUAAUAUAGUCUUUAUUAUUCUUUUGUUGCCACUGGUGUCGGGGCAUUCACAUUCCUUCUGUUGAGACCGUCGUCUGUUUUGCAAAAACUUAGUUCGGUUGUCUUUUAUUACUGCUUAAUCUCUUGCCUUGUCUUUUAAAUAAUUAUGGUGUUGGUUUUCUGAUAUACAACGGAGAAGUUCUUUUCAUAUUUCUUUUGAUCUUUCUGGAGGGAACUUCAAGGGGAGUCCUCUGUUUUUCAUGGAAUCAUCUGGCGGGUCUUGAGAAUAAGGGUCUUCUUCAUGAGUCAAUGAAUUCCCACCUUCGGAUUUUUUAGUUUUUCUCCUUUGCUUUUUGCCUUCUUUUUUCCAAAUCUUUUGUAGAUACUAGGGUUGGGAGAUGCAGACAGCAGAUGUUGAGUUGCGGGUAGAAGCUUCAGCUUUACUCGAGGUGGCGGAUGCACGGGGGAGGCACCGGAUUCAAGCCGAGUUGAAGAGGCUGGAGCAAGAGGCGCGGUUUCUCGAGGGAUGCUCGAUAGCAGUACAGGAGGGACAUUGUUGUGACUUGCAAACAUCGAAAGAAAUGGAAGAGCUAGCUAAGACGGAUAAAGUUUCCAUCGCAUGUCAAGAGUUGCUGCUUUACGUAAAAGCGAAACCAGACCCUUUUCUCCCUAUAACAGUUGGACCUGCGAACCCAGCUUGGGACCGUUGGUUUG
Long non-coding RNA from Nymphaea colorata (pocket water lily), 904 nucleotides. RefSeq lists it as uncharacterized. The transcript is spliced from 5 exons. NCBI's taxonomy places the organism in Eukaryota, Viridiplantae, Streptophyta, Magnoliopsida, Nymphaeales, Nymphaeaceae. The record is from RefSeq and is a predicted model, not a curated record.